RNAcentral lists this long non-coding RNA (2525 nucleotides) under Mytilus galloprovincialis (Mediterranean mussel). The record is from RNAcentral. Lineage: Eukaryota; Metazoa; Mollusca; Bivalvia; Mytilida; Mytilidae.
UUAUAAGUUUAAUGUUGAUAUUAAAUAUGGAUAAAUUAAUGUGAAUGAUUUCCUUCCUUUAGCAUGCCUGAAAAUACCCUGUGAUACCUAUUAUAUCUAUUCUGGAACAUAUGUAAGUUAACCUUGUUUUUAAGUAUCAUUUCUCUACCUGAACCAUCCUUUUUUAGGGGGAAAAAAUUGGUUAAACAACAAACAAACAAAAUAGAAAAGACCAUGAAAAACAUCAUGAUAAAGCUAAAAUUGUUAUUAUUCAUUGUUAUUGUGAAUCAAUGAAUGAUCAUAUUACCAAAAAUAUGUUUUUAGUGUUAGGAUUCCCCGUAACCUCAACAUUGCCAUUUUUGAAAAUUCAAAAAUAAAAUGUGCAUUCAUUUUAAUCAACAGACUCCCAAUGUCCCGUAAUGUGAACCGGAUAUUUACAAUAAUAAUAUAUAAAAAUUCCACGAAAAAUGAAUAUUAAUCCAUGGAUAUCAUGAAUAUCGAAUUAUGUGUGAACUCAGCAUCAUUUCCUAAAUAAUACUAAUAUUUACAAGGUUUUCUUCCAAAACAUCUAAGAUAAAGGUUUCUGUAGAAAAGGCAUAAAUUUCUUAACAACAUUUUGUAUUGUCAUGAUCAGUCCAAACAGAAGCACUGAACUCUACAAACCAAUACAUGUAAUUUUUUUUUUUAUUUUUUAAAUUUUUUUUUAAAAAAUUUUUUUUUUAAAUUUUAAAAUUGUAUAAUUAUUACGUCAGGUAAAUUUUGUUCUGUCAGCAUGUCGCUAAUUAUUUCAGGAAAAAAAUAAUAUUUGUUUGAUCUUUUAAUAGCUAAAUUAAAUUGGCACCAUUCAUAUUUAUUACCAUUGGCAGUUUUGUAGUGUAUAAUUUAAAUAUCUCAAUUAUAUAAAUUAACUAGAUGUGUCAAAGCGACACGAAUGGCCCCAUCCCAAAAAGUUGAAAAAUCUGCAAUUUCAAUAUAAACACAUGUGGACACAAACAUGAUGGUAGUCUCACAUAUAAAAAAUCAGCUCAAAAUCUGGGGAGAAAAAAUCUGUAUAACUGAGAUUUUCAAUAAUUUAUCAAAGUCCAAAGCCUGUAAUUUCAGCGAAAAUAAGCGGAGCCGAACGAAACUUAAGCCUGGCCUAUAAGUCAUCAUGGUUAACACACAUACCAAAAAUCAGCCCAAUAUCUGAAAGCGUUUAGAAAAAAGUCCGUAUAACUGUGAUUUUCAACAAUUUCUCAGAGUCUAAAGCCCGUAAUUUCGGCAAAAAUUAGUGGAGCGGAACGAAACUUAAACUUGAUCUGUAACUCAUCAUGGUUAACUCACAUACCAAUAAUCAGACUUAUAUCUGAAGGCGUUUAGAAAAAAACUCUGUAUAAUGAUUUGUUGCGGAAUGACGGAAUGACAGAAAGACGGAAUUUCGGACAAGGGUAAAACUAUAUGGCACCGACAACUUUGUUGCUGGGCCAUAAAAAUUUGUAAUACUUGUCAUAAUAAAUUGAGCUCUUUUAAUAGGUACUAUUAAUACUGCAUUCAACUUUUUGAACUCAGUCCUGAUAUAGUUACUAGAAGAAAGUCUCCUUGGCGUAAUCCAGAAAGGACAUCCAAAGCCAACCAGACUUGGCUACUACUCAGGAGAACCACUAUUUGUGACUCUAACUCAACUGUAAAUGUUCAACCAGAUAAUAUUCAGCUCUACAUUAAUUUUAGGACAUUUUGACUAUUUGUUUUGUCAAUUGAUUUGGUAUAUUAUUAUUUCGAUCUGUUAUUAUAUAGAGUGCAUUUCUUUCUAACCAAAAUUUUGUAAACAUUGUGUGGCGUUUGUUGUUUUUCAUCUAAACGCUACAAAAGCAGAAACAAAUACAUGUUUAAUCAGUGUUUAUUGACCCUGUUUGAACUUUCAAUAAUGCAUGCACAUGUUGUUGGUAAACAGACUUAUUACAAAAGUUGAAACAAAUAUAUCGUUGAAUCAGGCUGAAGUUAGAAACAAAUAUAUCGUUGAAUCAGGCUGAAGUUAGAAACAAAUGUAGCAUUUGUUCUAAAAAAUGAUGAAUGACAAACUGUAGGCACAUUUUUAGCGCACACUUAGCUGUUUGUAUCGUUUGUGUUACAAAGAAAUGCACUCAAAAAUGUUUAAUUUGCUGCUUGCUUUGUAGUUUUGCCUGUCAUUGUAUAAGUCUUGCAAAAGAUUGACCCCCUGUCCUUUGGCUUGUGAAUGUUGGAUAGUCUCUUUCAAACUAGGGAUUAAUGAGCACUGGCCUUCGAUAACAUAUUCCCUGAAUAUGCUGGUUUAAAAAAGAUUUUUUUUAAUUUGCCAAUCAAAAUGAAAAAUUUCUUCUUUUUAUCAUACUUUUCAUCUGGCAUCAAACGAGAAUAAUUAUUUUAGGACGAGAUGAUCAAAAUAAAUAUAUCAUCUUAUCUGGUCCCAUAGGAACAUUUUUAAUAUUAUUUUAAUCAAACAAGACAAAAAUUUCAAAAUUCAAAUUAAGUUUUGCAUAGAAUUUAACUACCAUUCUAAAUUUGGUAAUUGUUUAUGCCAAUCCUUGCAC